This 425-nucleotide ribosomal RNA is filed under the name uncultured Enterobacteriaceae bacterium. RNAcentral describes it as "bacterial SSU rRNA". It matches the Rfam family "Bacterial small subunit ribosomal RNA", at positions 960 to 1382 of the family's 1533-position model. Lineage: Bacteria; Pseudomonadati; Pseudomonadota; Gammaproteobacteria; Enterobacterales; Enterobacteriaceae. The record is from RNAcentral.
CGCGAAGAACCUUACCUUACUCUUGACAUCCAGAGAAUUUGCUAGAGAUAGCUUAGUGCCUUCGGGAACUCUGAGACAGGUGCUGCAUGGCUGUCGUCAGCUCGUGUUGUGAAAUGUUGGGUUAAGUCCCGCAACGAGCGCAACCCUUAUCCUUUGUUGCCAGCGAGUAAUGUCGGGAACUCAAAGGAGACUGCCGGUGAUAAACCGGAGGAAGGUGGGAUGACGUCAAGUCAGUCAUGGCCCUUACGAGUAGGGCUACACACGUGCUACAAUGGCAUAUACAAAGAGAAGCGAACUCGCGAGAGCAAGCGGACCUCAUAAAGUAAUGUCGUAGUCCGGAUUGGAGUCUGCAACUCGACUCCAUGAAGUCGGAAUCGCUAGUAAUCGUAGAUCAGAAUGCUACGGUGAAUACGUUCCCGGGCCUU